RNAcentral lists this ribosomal RNA (363 nucleotides) under uncultured bacterium. Its description in RNAcentral is "bacterial SSU rRNA". It matches the Rfam family "Bacterial small subunit ribosomal RNA", at positions 29 to 419 of the family's 1533-position model. The record is from RNAcentral.
AACGAACGCUGGCGGCAUGCCUAACACAUGCAAGUCGAACGAAGGCUUCGGCCUUAGUGGCGCACGGGUGCGUAACGCGUGGGAAUCUGCCCUUGGGUUCGGAAUAACUCAGAGAAAUUUGAGCUAAUACCGGAUGAUGACGUAAGUCCAAAGAUUUAUCGCCCAAGGAUGAGCCCGCGUAAGAUUAGCUAGUUGGUGGGGUAAAGGCCCACCAAGGCGACGAUCUGUAGCGGGUCUGAGAGGAUGAUCCGCCACACUGGGACGGAGACACGGCCCAGACUCCUACGGGAGGCAGCAGUGGGGAAUUUUGGACAAUGGGCGCAAGCCUGAUCCAGCCAUGCCGCGUGCGGGACGAAGGCCUUC